This 301-nucleotide ribosomal RNA is filed under the name uncultured bacterium. Its description in RNAcentral is "partial 16S ribosomal RNA". It matches the Rfam family "Bacterial small subunit ribosomal RNA", at positions 509 to 807 of the family's 1533-position model. The record is from RNAcentral.
CAGCAGCCACGGGAAUACGAAGGGGGCUAGCGUUGUUCGGAAUUACUGGGCGUAAAGCGCACGCAGGCGGCUCGAUAAAUUAGAAGUGAAAGCCUUGGGCUUAACCUGAGAAUUGCUUUUAAGACUGUCGAGCUAGAAUCCAGAAGAGGGUAGUGGAAUUCCGAGUGUAGAGGUGAAAUUCGUAGAUAUUCGGAAGAACACCAGUGGCGAAGGCGACUACCUGGUCUGGCAUUGACGCUCAUGUGCGAAAGCGUGGGGAGCAAACAGGAUUAGAUACCCGUGUAGUCCCUGUCUCUUAUAC